Molecule: long non-coding RNA, 4940 nt
Filed under: Sus scrofa (pig)
Lineage: Eukaryota; Metazoa; Chordata; Mammalia; Artiodactyla; Suidae
Description: lncRNA (ENSSSCG00000055371.1)
Source: RNAcentral
AAUGCACCUGUGGUAUAUGGAAUUUUCCUGGCUAGAGAGUGAAUCUGAGCUGCAGCUGAGGCCUAUGCCACAGCCAUGGCAACACCAGAUCCAAGCACUAUCUGUGACCUAUGCUGCAGCUGUUGAAAUACUAGACACAAUGCAAAGAGUGAAGCCAGGGAUCAAACCUGCAUCCUCAUGGAGACUAUGUUGGGUCCUUAACCUGCUGAGCCACAAGGGGAACUCCCAAACCUCAUGAUUCUAUGUGCCUUCUCCUCUCCAUUUUCUCAAAGAGAAAAAGAGGCAAUGAAGAGGGUAGAGUCUCCUGAUACAAAAGAUAAUUAGCUAUGGGUCUUUAGGUUGGCUGGGAGGCCAUCUUCUCAUUGGAGUAAGAGCUGGGAUGGAAUAGUGCAGCAGUGGCUGGCAUCUGGGGGAGACAGCCAGGAGGGGAAAGAACAGAUUUGAAAUAUUCCAGGACUGGACUCUUCUUCUCUCCAAGCCUCAAUUUUCUCAUUUGUUUAAUGAGAAAAAAAAAGCUGCAAGGAUGUGAUGAAAUAAUUCAUGCAAAGCAUCUCACACAAAGCCUGGCACAUAACAGGCUUUUAAUGAAGGGAUAGUUAAUUAAAUUGAAUUGAGCUAGAUGUCUUGCCUUGAUCCUGGAAGGAAGCAACUUUAUGGCAACCAACCAGUUUCCAGAAAAUGUGACAUUGCUUCAUCCUCCUGUGCCUUUUCAUUGUUCCUUUUGCCUGGAACCCAUUUCCUCUUUUUGAGUGUGACAAAAAAACUACCUUGGAUGUAAACCUUCCUUCAAAUGACCCAGAGGAAAGUAAACUUCUCCCUUCUUUGUGCUGGCUGCACUUGAGCCAAUGUCUGUCAUAAUAUUUCCUUAUUCUAUUGCACAUAUUACUUAUGUGACUGUCUGCCCUGUGGGCCUUGAGCUCUUUGGUUCAAUAUUAAUUCAGCAAACAUUUAUUGAGUCCUUGUCUGUGCUACGUAUGGCCCUGUGAUUCAUUUUUCUCCCUCCAGGGUCUGGUAUGUAAUCAGUGCUCAUUAAUAUUAGUUGAAAAUAUGAAACUGAAAAGAAUGUGAAUGUUAAUAUCAUGCGGAUUUGGUUUUAAGACUGGGUUCCACCACUUUCUGGUGUGUAACUUGGGGCAGGUCACCUCACCUUCCACAGGCUCUUUUCUUGUUGUCAAGUGGGAGAUGUAAUAUCUCUGUAGGAGAAAAGCAGUGUGCAGCACCUGGAGGUGAGUAAAUGCUCUUUCUCCUUCCUUUAAGAGGAGUUUAGGAGUUCCUUGGUGGCUCAGAGGGUUAAGAACCUGGUGUUGUCACUGCUUUGGCUUAGGUCACUGCUGUGGCACAGGUUGGAUCCCCGGCCUGGGAACUUCCAUAUGAUGUGAUUGUGGACAAACAAACAAACAGACUAUUUGGAUUAAAAAAAUUGAUUAUAUCGAGCUCCCAUCGUGGCUUAGAGGUAACAAAUCCAACUAGUAUCCAUGAGGACUCAUGUUUGAUCCCUGGCAUCCCUCACUGGGUUAAGGAUCUGGUCUUGCCUUGAGCUGUGUUGUAAGGCACAGACACAGCUUGGAUCCCAUGUUGCUUUGGCUGUAGUGUAGAGUGGCCACUGCAGUUCUGAUUUGACCACUAGAAUGGGAACUUCCAUACGCUAUGGGUGAAGCCCUAAAAAUAGGCCAAAAAUUGAUUAUAUUGCAUGUUAGUGAAGUUGUGAUGGUAAAAUGUAAACUGAGCAAUUUGGAGGACAAUCUGGCAAUGAGCUAUGCAUACACAACCAUGCAUACCCUAUGUCUUAGGCUGCUUGGAUUCUGUCAGAAAGCACCACAGACUAGGUGGCUUAGGUGGCUUAAGCAACAGGCAUUUAUUUCUGCAGUUCUGGAGGCUGGGAUACCCAAGGUCAGGGUGCCAGCAUGGUUGGAUUCUUGUGAGGGUCCAAUUUCAGACUUGCUAAUGGCUGCCUUCUGACUUUAUCUCAUAUGAUCUUGAAAGACAGAGAUGAACUCUUCUCCUAAGGGCACUGAUUCCAUCAUGAGGACCCCACCCUUCUGACCAUAUCUAAACCUCAUUACCUCCCAAAGACCCCACUUCCAGAUGCCAUCACAUUGGGGGUUAGGGCUUCAACAUAUGAAUUUUGAGGGGUGGUGACAUAUUCAGUCCAUAAUAUCUAGUAACUCCUCUUCUUGGUGUUUUGAAAACUCUCCCAAAUGUACACAACUAGAGAGAUGCAUAAGGAUGCCUAGAGUCUUGGACUGUUUGUAAUGGCCAAACACUAGCCAAACCUAAAUGUUUGUCUGUAAGCUUAUGGUAGUUAAUUGUGAAGUCAAUGUCUAUGUAUCAAUAUGGAGAAAUCUCAUAAACAUAUUGAGAUAAAAGCCUAAUUUGUGGAAAAAUAUAUAGUUUGAAUGAAAAGCACAAAAUAUUUUAUGGUUUUCCUUGUACACCAAAUGUACUGCUGGUUGCUCCAAGCAGAGACGAGGUCCCAAUUUAAAGGGCCUCAGGACAUCUCAAAGGAUUUCAUCAGCUUUGCCUCAUCUCCAUAUUCAUAACUCAUCCUUCUCUGUUUUUCCUUUAUUUUUUUGGCCCCAUCUGUAGAAUGCAGAAGUUCCCUGUCCAGGAGAAUCAUGUCACAGUAGUACCUUGAGCCACAGCACUGACAACAUCAAAUCCUUAACUGAUAGGCUCCCGAGGAACCCCCUUCUUAUCUUUUCAGACUCAGCUCAGGGGUCAUCAUCUUUUCCCAGGAGAGUUUAUGUGAACAUCCAACCACCCCACCUCUCAUUCUGGAACCCCACCCCCUGGGCUCUCUAUUAUAACCCUACUUCAUCAUUUUAUAAUGAUCUAAAUGUUGUUCUCCCUCACCUAACUGGACAGUUGGGACCAUGCCCAAUUCUUUCCUCUACUCUUCAUGAUACAGAAUUUUAGAAAAAAAUAAUUUUAGGGGUCAUCUCCUUCUCCUUGGUGGGGAUCACUCCUAGAGUUCAGACAGUGUCUGGGGGUAGAAAGCUGUGGACUUCUAGAUCCACCCAACAUCACAUUCUCCAUGAAUGUAAUCAGCUUGGUGGCUGAGGUUCUGCAUCCAGAACCCAGCUGGAAGCAAAGCCCUUGCGUGUUUCCAUCUACUCACAUGGAAGCAAACACCAGUUAUCAUCACAAAGUGAGGAGCAUCUGUAUAAUGGGGACCAUGAGACUUCAAGGCUUUGAAAUUGCUUUGAAAUUUUGGGGUGCAAGGAGCCCAAAACAUUAGUUAAGCAGUUACUAUGCAGUGUGUGUGUGUUCAGAAAUCAUAGAGUGAGUUCUCCAUGAAUUUCUCUCUAUUGUCUUACUGCCCAUGGGGAGUAAUCCUGACAUCCGGGGACAUUCAUUUUGUUCCUUGAAGGAAAGAAGAUGUAAUUCCAAAGAAGGAAGGAGAUAAGAAGGUAUGAAGUUGGGGCUUGAACUCAGAUUUGGCACCAAAUCCAAUUUUCUUUGUCUCUAGGCAGAGACUCUAAUUAGCUCUCUUAAAAGAUUAUGAAAUUAGAGUUGCCACUGUCUCGCAUCUGUUGUCUCAUCUUUAGAUGGGGCAUAUUGGGUCAGAUUGGGGGUUCCAGUCUACUCUGUGGACCUCUGUCACUGGAGUUGCCAGUGGAGCUUUGUUAAAAACUGUAUGGCUCUCAGCAGUGGUCAAAAACUGAUUCAAUUCUUCUAGAGAAGGGCUCAGAAAUCUGUACUUGUAGAAAAUAUUCCAGGUGAUUCUGAUAUGUAGCUUGAUUUGGGACCCCAUAGUGUCAGAGAUUCUCAAUCUUUAAUGCACUUAGGGAGCUUUUUAAAUGCAGAUUCUGCCUCAGAAGGACAGGGAGGGGCCUGAAACUCUGAAUUUCUAACAAACUCCCAGGAGACACUGAUGCUGCUGGUUCGGGUACCAUGCUUGGGAUAUUGAGAGCAUAGGUUGUAUUGGACAGCAUUCCAUGCUCUGAUGUAUUAAUUUCCUUUUUUUUUCUUUUUAAGGUUUCAACUGCAGCAUAUGAAAAUUCUCAGGCUAGGGGUUGAAUCAGAGAUGUAGCUGCUGGCCUGCACCACAGCCACAGUAACACCAGCCUGAGCUGCAUCUGUGACCUAUGCUGCAGCUCAUGGCAAUGCCGGACCCUUAACCAGUGAGUGAGGCCAGGGAUCAACCCCACACCCUCAUGAACUCUGUGGUGGGUUCUUAACCUACCAACCUCCUCCUGAUAGCUCCUUUCUCCCUACUGAUGACUUUUUUGAGUCUUCCUGUCUCCCCAGGCCCCACUAUACUCAUGAACACUUUUCAGUGUGGCGAGGCUGGACUCCUGGUAUUUAUCAGGAUGUGGCCUCCCCAUUUCCUAAGGAGCCCCUGUUCUUAGCUCUUUCACCCUCAGCACUCAGACAUCGGAUAUGUCUCUUGCUGCUCUCACCAUGAUGGUGCAGGAUUAGGGGGUUGGUAGGACAUACCUAGAAGGUGGAGGUGGGUGAUGAGUUCUUCUCACAGAGCAGCUUCAGUCCAGUUGUGGGGUGAUGAUGGCAGGGGGAGGUGUCAAGGACAUGCCCCACCCCAGAAGUAGGAACUGGGGACAUGUAUUCUCCUUGGACCCUUAGGGAUGAUCUCUAUUUGCCUGCUGACUCCUCCCCCUCCCUCUGCUGUCCUGAACUCAUUAUGGCACAGCUGAAAUGAAUCUGACUAGGAACCAUGCAUUUGCAGGUUUGAUCCCUGGCCUUGCUCAGUGGGUCAAUGAUCCAGCAUUGCUGUGAUCUGUGGUGUAGUCACAGAUGCAGCUUGGACCAGGUGUUGCUGUGGCUGUGGUGGAGGCCAGCAGCUGUAGACCCCUAUCCUUGGAACCUCCAUAUGCCAUAGGUGUGGCCCUAAAAAAGACUCCCUCUCCACAGCCUUUGUGGAUUCCAUGACAGCUGGUGGCAGAGGAAAGUCCAGGAUGAUGCAUGCUUUGGAGCCUGGG